Molecule: long non-coding RNA, 219 nt
Filed under: Elaeis guineensis (African oil palm)
Lineage: Eukaryota; Viridiplantae; Streptophyta; Magnoliopsida; Arecales; Arecaceae
Description: long non-coding RNA (EGUI_LNC007054)
Source: RNAcentral
CUACCGGAGGUGGGGGAGGAGCAUCUUUCCGACAAGAAGAGUGCCUCGCCGAUCCGAUCAAACGUUGGGCUUUGAUUUUCGACAUGAUUGAUUGCAGAUUUUUUCAACCCCUUCCUGACGCACCAAUCUGUUGCGGUCAACUUUCUGUCGCUUAUUGCCGGUGAUAAGCACCUGCAAAAUAGUGUCCUCACAAACUGGAGUUGUGUUUGGCGGGGACCC